GGAAUGUACCACAUAAUAUAAAUGCAUAUUUAGAACUCAAACGUUAAUAUAUUUCUACAUGGCAUCUCACAAACUGAAAGGGGCUUACAAUAUUCAAGGAAUGUCAAGUGAAGCAUAAUAGCCGCAACAACAACAACGAGUGUCAGUCUCGUGAAUGAAUAACUAACACAUUCAUCUCAUAACUGAACUAUCUUUGCAAAGCAUUGAACUACUGAAGCAUAUGGUGAAAGUCUACGUAUCCUACACUAUUGGAAAGGCAGCUAUUAGCUGCUACUUAUUUUGCAUUUAUUUAGGGCAUUUGUUUAGGAAUUUUUGUGUGCAUAUCUGUUCUUACCUUUUGUUGUAUGAU
Molecule: unclassified non-coding RNA, 349 nt
Filed under: Hevea brasiliensis (rubber tree)
Lineage: Eukaryota; Viridiplantae; Streptophyta; Magnoliopsida; Malpighiales; Euphorbiaceae
Source: RNAcentral